Molecule: long non-coding RNA, 442 nt
Organism: Drosophila gunungcola (fruit fly)
Lineage: Eukaryota; Metazoa; Arthropoda; Insecta; Diptera; Drosophilidae
Exons: 2
Source: RefSeq, a predicted model, not a curated record
UAGGAUUUUUUCAUAUAAAUAUCGUAGUUCAUAGCUUUUUAAAGUCAGUUCGAAUACUUUCAAGCCAAAAUGAAGAUUUCCCUAGCCGUUCUGGGACUUUUUGUGUCCAUCUUCUUCAGUUUCCAAACACCUUCAAUGACAUUGCUCUCCGCACAAUCGCCACCCACUUUCUGCAAAUUGUUUCCCAAUUUGCCGAUUUGCAAAAAUCCUCCAUCCCAGGAUAAUGGAUCAAAUAGAUCAACAGCAUCCACCGAAUCAAGUGAAGGCAGUGGACCUACAACUGCGGCUACUUUAAAACCGAGUAAUGAAACAGUCCCUUAUUGAUUUCCAACCAUGGAUUUUUAAAACGUGGCUUUUUCUGAAAUUGUGCAAUUUAUCCAUUUGUUUUUAAAUUCUGGUAUGUCAAUUUUUUAAAUAAAUAACCCACGAGCAUUGCAAAAAA